AGAUUGAACGCUGGCGGCAUGCCUUACACAUGCAAGUCGAACGGCAGCACGGGAGCAAUCCUGGUGGCGAGUGGCGAACGGGUGAGUAAUAUAUCGGAACGUGCCCAGUCGUGUGGGAUAACGUAGAGAAAUUUACGCUAAUACCGCAUACGAUCCAAGGAUGAAAGCGGGGACCGUAAGGCCUCGCGCGACUGGAGCGGCUGAUAUCAGAUUAGCUUGUUGGUGAGGUAAAAGCUCACCAAGGCGACGAUCUGUAGCUGGUUUGAGAGAACGACCAGCCACACUGGACUGAGACACGGCCAGACUCUACGGAGCAGCAGUGGGGAAUUUUGGACAAUGGGCGAAAGCCUGAUCCAGCAAAUGCCGCGUGCAGGAAGAAGGCCU
Molecule: ribosomal RNA, 384 nt
Filed under: uncultured soil bacterium
Lineage: Bacteria
Description: bacterial SSU rRNA
Rfam family: Bacterial small subunit ribosomal RNA
Source: RNAcentral